GACGAACGCUGGCGGCGUGCUUAACACAUGCAAGUCGAACGGAAAGGCCCUGCUUUUGUGGGGUGCUCGAGUGGCGAACGUGUGAGUAACACGUGAGUAACCUGCCCUUUACUUUGGGAUAACUUCAGGAAACUGGGGCUAAUACCGGAUAGGAGCUCCUGCUGCAUGGUGGGGGUUGGAAAGUUUCGGCGGUUGGGGAUGGACUCGCGGCUUAUCAGCUUGUUGGUGGGGUAGUGGCUUACCAAGGCUUUGACGGGUAGCCGGCCUGAGAGGGUGACCGGCCACAUUGGGACUGAGAUACGGCCCAGACUCCUACGAGAGGCAGCAGUGGGGAAUAUUGCACAAUGGGCGGAAGCCUGAUGCAGCAACGCAGCGUGCGGGAUGACGGCCUUCGGGUUGUAAACCGCUUUCGCCUGUGACGAAGCGUGAGUGACGGUAAUGGGUAAAGAAGCACCGGCUAACUACGUG
RNAcentral lists this ribosomal RNA (468 nucleotides) under uncultured bacterium. RNAcentral describes it as "partial 16S ribosomal RNA". It matches the Rfam family "Bacterial small subunit ribosomal RNA", at positions 28 to 507 of the family's 1533-position model. The record is from RNAcentral.